This 76-nucleotide transfer RNA is filed under the name Staphylococcus aureus. RNAcentral describes it as "tRNA-Asp(gtc)". It matches the Rfam family "tRNA". Rfam says of the family: Transfer RNA (tRNA) molecules are approximately 80 nucleotides in length. Their secondary structure includes four short double-helical elements and three loops (D, anti-codon, and T loops). Further hydrogen bonds mediate the characteristic L-shaped molecular structure. tRNAs have two regions of fundamental functional importance: the anti-codon, which is responsible for specific mRNA codon recognition, and the 3' end, to which the tRNAs corresponding amino acid is attached (by aminoacyl-tRNA synthetases). tRNAs cope with the degeneracy of the genetic code in two manners: having more than one tRNA (with a specific anti-codon) for a particular amino acid; and 'wobble' base-pairing, i.e. permitting non-standard base-pairing at the 3rd anti-codon position. The record is from RNAcentral. Lineage: Bacteria; Bacillati; Bacillota; Bacilli; Caryophanales; Staphylococcaceae.
NNUCUCGUAGUGUAGCGGUUAACACGCCUGCCUGUCACGCAGGAGAUCGCGGGUUCGAUUCCCGUCGAGACCGCCA